UGAAAACAUAAUUCAUUUACAUUUUCAAUUUUAGACGUUGUUCUGUGCCCAAAUAAUCAAGAUUAUAAAUUCUUAUUCUUAAUCUUGUAAAAAAAUAACAAGUUAAUGUACCAACGAAAAAGCUGUGUCAAAAGAUUCAAGACAAACGAGUUUUUGGACAUAGCAAUGAAAGAAAGAGAUUUAACGAAAACCUGAAGACAUCGAGGUCGAAUCAAGAAGCCAAAAAAAUUCCAGCAGCAUUUUUCGAUAUAUUAGGGUUUGAAUCCGAAAUCUCUGAAAUGGGGCUUUGAUAUGUCGGCGCUUAUCGAAGCAAGCAGAGGCGACAGAAAAUUGAAACCUCUAAUUGAAAUCUUGCAAUAACAAUUCAGUUAUUCAAAUAUCGAAACAAAUUUUUAGGGCGCCGAUGAUCAAGAUUCGUGGAGAUCGAAUGUUCAAGAAUAUAAAGAACGAGAAAAUGCUCCAAAAUAUAUUGAUAUAAAAUUUCGUUUAGAUGAGUCGAUUACAGAGAAAUUGAAUCAAGAUAGAGUGGUGAGGGAAAAUAAGAGAUAAAAUUCAGACUAGAAAAAAUAGAAUCGCCGAGGAAUAAAUUUCCCGUUUUCACACACAUCUCUCUCUCGCUAUCUUAAAAUCCUAAUUCAUAAAAU
Molecule: long non-coding RNA, 644 nt
Filed under: Cicer arietinum (chickpea)
Lineage: Eukaryota; Viridiplantae; Streptophyta; Magnoliopsida; Fabales; Fabaceae
Description: long non-coding RNA (CARI_LNC001775)
Source: RNAcentral